GACGAACGCUGGCGGCGCGCUUAACACAUGCAAGUCGAACGGACAGGCCCUGCUUUUGUGCGUUUCUCGAUUGGCGAGCGCGUGAGUAACACGUGAGUAUCCUCCCCUUGUCUUUCGGAUAACAUCAGGGAACUGGGGCUAAUACCGGAUAGGAGCUCCUGCUGCAUGUUGUGCGUUGGAAAGUUUCGGCGGUUGGGGAUGGACUCGCUGCUUAUCAGCUUGUUUGUGGAGUAGUUGCUUACCAAGGCUUUGACGGGUAGCCGGCCUGAGAGGGUUAACAGCGACAUGGGGACUGAGAGAGGGCGCAGUAUGGAACGGGAGGCAGUAGGCGAGAACAUGACACAACGGGGGGAAGUCUGAGGUGAAGAUGUCCGGAGCGUGAAACUCUGUUUUGGGGUGUAAACCGCUGUGGCAGGUGCCGAGGCGGGAGUGACGGUACCUGGUAAAGAAGCACCGGCUAACUACGUG
This 468-nucleotide ribosomal RNA is filed under the name uncultured bacterium. RNAcentral describes it as "partial 16S ribosomal RNA". It matches the Rfam family "Bacterial small subunit ribosomal RNA", at positions 28 to 507 of the family's 1533-position model. The record is from RNAcentral.